This 301-nucleotide ribosomal RNA is filed under the name uncultured bacterium. RNAcentral describes it as "partial 16S ribosomal RNA". It matches the Rfam family "Bacterial small subunit ribosomal RNA", at positions 509 to 809 of the family's 1533-position model. The record is from RNAcentral.
CAGUAGCCGCGGUAAAACGAAGGGUGCAAGCGUUACUCGGAAUUACUGGGCGUAAAGCGUGCGUAGGUGGUGGUUUAAGUCCGUUGUGAAAGCCCUGGGCUCAACCUGGGAAUUGCAGUGGAUACUGGGUCACUAGAGUGUGGUAGAGGAUAGUGGAAUUUCCGGUGUAGCAGUGAAAUGCGUAGAGAUCGGAAGGAACAUCUGUGGCGAAGGCGACUAUCUGGGCCAACACUGACACUGAGGCACGAAAGCGUGGGGAGCAAACAGGAUUAGAUACCCGCGUAGUCCCUGUCUCUUAUAA